GAUGAACGCUGGCGGCGUGCCUAAUACAUGCAAGUCGAGCGAACAGACGAGGAGCUUGCUCCUCUGACGUUAGCGGCGGACGGGUGAGUAACACGUGGAUAACCUACCUAUAAGACUGGGAUAACUUCGGGAAACCGGAGCUAAUACCGGAUAAUAUAUUGAACCGCAUGGUUCAAUAGUGAAAGACGGUUUUGCUGUCACUUAUAGAUGGAUCCGCGCCGCAUUAGCUAGUUGGUAAGGUAACGGCUUACCAAGGCAACGAUGCGUAGCCGACCUGAGAGGGUGAUAGGCCACACGGGAACUGAGACACGGUCCAGACUCCUAAGGGAGGCAGCAGUAGGGAAUCUUCCGCAAUGGGCGAAAGCCUGACGGAGCAACGCCGCGUGAGUGAUGAAGGUCUUCGGAUCGUAAAACUCUGUUAUUAGGGAAGAACAAAUGUGUAAGUAACUAUGCACGUCUUGACGGUACCUAAUCAGAAAGCCACGGCUAACUACGUG
RNAcentral lists this ribosomal RNA (497 nucleotides) under uncultured bacterium. RNAcentral describes it as "partial 16S ribosomal RNA". It matches the Rfam family "Bacterial small subunit ribosomal RNA", at positions 28 to 507 of the family's 1533-position model. The record is from RNAcentral.